CACCGACAACUAUAAUACUACUUCAAAACUUCCGGAUCCUCUCCGAUACGCGCUAGUGGGCGAAAAGAAGAAAACUAACAUAAGUAGAAGAACACUCGGAAGAACGUUGAACAGCAGUAUACUACCACACGUAUAUACAAACUAGUAGUAUACUAGUAUUUGAAUACAAAGUAAGAUACUAGUAUUUUAAUACAAGUAGUACUAGUAUAUUAUAUAAUAAAAGUAGUAAUAGUAAUAGUAGUAGAAGUAAUAAUAAUAGUAGUAGUAGUAGUAUUAAUAGUAACAGUAGUAGUAUAACGCAAUCGUUCGACUGCAAGGAAAAGUGGUGUGCGGAAACGCAUAAGAUUCUCAAGUAAUACUUUUAUAUAUACGUACAUUAACACACACACACACACACACGUGCACACACAAGUAUACAUAUACACGUUGAAUACACGGAUUAUAUACUUGAAUAGUAUAUACCUUUCGUUUUCUACACCGAAGAAGUGUUCUGUGAUUCGUGAACGAAACAACCAAGAAAAAAAAGAGAGUAAAAGAAAAAAAAACAGAGAGAGAGACAAAAAAAGGUACAAGACGUGUUACAUCGAGAACGGAUAGAAGAGAUCAUCUUCUUUCUUUACUGAUCAACAAGAGCAAGGAAGAAAGAAAGAGAAAAAGAGAGAGAGAGAGAGAGAGAUUGGAAGAAAAAGCAGGAUGAUCAUCGCUGGAAUUAAGAUGGACUGGACGAUCAGAUUGUAUGCCGUUGUAUGGAUCUUGACCAUAACUAUACCAAGUUACAAGGCGACAAGUUUGGAGAGUCCGAAUAAC
Polistes canadensis is the source of this 807-nucleotide long non-coding RNA. RefSeq lists it as uncharacterized. The transcript is spliced from 3 exons. Lineage: Eukaryota; Metazoa; Arthropoda; Insecta; Hymenoptera; Vespidae. The record is from RefSeq and is a predicted model, not a curated record.